CACUGCUGCCCACCUUCUGCCCGGAAUUAACCAGGCUCCUUGGAGAAAUGGCCGGUUCCAGGCGUGGAGCAGGAAAAGUACAAGUUCUUCUAGGAAGCUGUUUUAUCCAAUAAGAUAGAUUGGAGUUUUCAGCCUGGAAGAGGGAGCAAGGUGACCACGCCACAGAGACGCCAGGGUGAAAACGAGCGGGGGUGGAGCCCCGGCCGGGCCCUAGAUGGAGCCGGGUUCCAGGAGGAGAGCGCAUUUAUGAGCCUGUGAGAUGCCCGCGAGCGCCUGGGCCCAGAGGUGCAGAACCGAAGGGCCACCUCACAGCUCACAGACUCUCAGCCUGCUCUUCUCCCAGCCCUGCUUAGCUUGGAGGAAGACUACUUAUUUCUGUCGGCGGUUUCCAGCCCACAGUGCACGCGGUUUGGACAAAGACAAUGGCCAAGCAUUUUGAGAACCUUCUGGUACAAGAUCCCGUGCAGUCACUUCUUUG
Molecule: long non-coding RNA, 478 nt
Organism: Balaenoptera ricei (Rice's whale)
Lineage: Eukaryota; Metazoa; Chordata; Mammalia; Artiodactyla; Balaenopteridae
Exons: 3
Source: RefSeq, a predicted model, not a curated record